CUACGGGUCGCUGCAGUGAGGAAUAUUGCACAAUGGGGGGAACCCUGAUGCAGCAACGCCGCGUGGAGGAUGACGCAUUUCGGUGUGUAAACUCCUUUUAUAUGUCAAGAAAAUGACGGUAGCAUAUGAAUAAGCACCGGCUAACUCCGUGCCAGCAGCCGCGGUAAUACGCGAGGGUGCAAGCGUUACUCGGAAUCACUGGGCGUAAAGGACGCGUAGGCGGGUUGGAAAGUCAGGUGUGAAAUCCUACAGCUUAACUGUAGAACUGCACUUGAAACUUCUAAUCUAGAGUAUGGGAGGGGGAGAUGGAAUUAGCGGUGUAGGGGUAAAAUCCGUAGAUAUCACUAGGAAUACCUAAAGCGAAGGCGAUCUCCUGGAACAUUACUGACGCUAAGGCGUGAAAGCGUGGGGAGCAAACAGGAUUAGAUACCCCUGUAGUC
Molecule: ribosomal RNA, 440 nt
Filed under: uncultured bacterium
Lineage: Bacteria
Description: partial 16S ribosomal RNA
Rfam family: Bacterial small subunit ribosomal RNA
Source: RNAcentral